AUGUCAAAUCUGGCUGGUGUCUACAAGAAGGUGAAGAUAGCUUCUGGUGGUCAAGAUUUGAUAUGGCCUCUUUCUAUGUUUCCACUCUCAAAACCCUAGAGCCGCACCAUAUUCUUCAAAAAUGAGGGUGGGAUGCGACAUAGAUGAUGAGAAUCCGAGUCUAGAUUCGACUUGCUAGUUGCGUGUUUCAAAAACGAAGAUGAAGGAGCGGAGGUGAAAGAGAACACAAACAAGAUUGAGCCGUCUUUUUUGUUGAAUUUGGUAUCACAAGUGAUGCAGCAUU
Molecule: long non-coding RNA, 283 nt
Filed under: Helianthus annuus (common sunflower)
Lineage: Eukaryota; Viridiplantae; Streptophyta; Magnoliopsida; Asterales; Asteraceae
Description: hypothetical non coding rna
Source: RNAcentral